AUGUGCCUUUCACGAAGAUGUCACUCCAGAACCUUUCUACACAACAUAGUAGGAAGCUUCCUCGGUUCAUCUCAGAAUCUGCCUUUCACAAAGAGGUCACUACUGAUUCAUGUGUUUGUGCGACAGUACAUGAGGCUACAAUUCGACCGUGAGUCGGAUGAGAGCUACCGGGAGAAGAGGAUACAGAUUAGCGGAGCAGUCAUGAGAGGAAGUAUUGCCAUUGAACAACAUGCAAAUAAGGUUUACACCAGGAAAAUGUUUGAACAAUUUGGUGAGAACCUUUUCAAGGGUCGGGCGUACCAGGUUGAGGAAAUUGUGAAGCACAUUGCAAGACACAACGAUGCCGAGAAAUGUGAGAAGUGGAGAGUGGUUGAUUACAAGGUGACCAUGUUGGAUGACGGCGAGUGGUUCGAGUGUGAAUGCGGGCAAUUCACCCACAUGGGGAUGGUUUGUUGCCAUGCUUUGAAGGUGAUGGGCUAUGUUGUCGUGAAGGAGAUGCUGAAGCGGCACAUCCUCAAGAGAUGGACGAAAGAUGCUAGGGACAUCCUGCCCCGGCAUCUUGCUCACUUCAAAAGAAACCAGGUCGUGAACAAAUCUUUCACCUGCCGCAGCUCGACUCUCUACCUACACGCCAUGGAGCUGGUUAGGCUUGGGGAUUCAUCCGUCAUGACAUAUGAACUCGUACUGGGUCGCUCGAAGGAUAUGAUUGCGGAGGUAAUCACCGCUAGCUGA
This 732-nucleotide ribosomal RNA is filed under the name Triticum aestivum (bread wheat). RNAcentral describes it as "partial small subunit ribosomal RNA". Lineage: Eukaryota; Viridiplantae; Streptophyta; Magnoliopsida; Poales; Poaceae. The record is from RNAcentral.